Molecule: ribosomal RNA, 354 nt
Filed under: uncultured bacterium
Lineage: Bacteria
Description: partial 16S ribosomal RNA
Rfam family: Bacterial small subunit ribosomal RNA
Source: RNAcentral
CCUACGGGAGGCAGCAGUGGGGAAUAUUGCGCAAUGGGCGAAAGCCUGACGCAGCGACGCCGCGUGAGGGAUGAAGGUCUUCGGAUCGUAAACCUCUGUCAGCAGGGAAGAACGGGCCGUGAGCUAAUCAGCAGUGAAUUGACGGCACCUGCAAAGCAAGCACCGGCUAACUCCGUGCCAGCGGCCGCGGUAGUACGUAGGGUGCGAGCGGUAAACGGAAUUACUUUGCGUAAAGCGCCCGUAGGCGGUAUGUCAAGUCAAGGGUGAAAUCCGCGGGCCCAAAGUGGGAACUGCCGUGGAAACUGGCGAACUGGAGUGUGUGAGAGGAUAGUGGAAUGCCGGGUGUAGGGGUGA